Molecule: ribosomal RNA, 253 nt
Filed under: uncultured bacterium
Lineage: Bacteria
Description: partial 16S ribosomal RNA
Rfam family: Bacterial small subunit ribosomal RNA
Source: RNAcentral
UACGAAGGGGGCUAGCGUUGUUCGGAAUUACUGGGCGUAAAGCGUGCGCAGGCGGCUUCCCAAGUCAGUGGUGAAAGCCCGGAGCUCAACUCCGGAAAUGCCAUUGAAACUGUGAAGCUCGAGAACGAGAGAGGUGAGUGGAAUUCCCAGUGUAGAGGUGAAAUUCGUAGAUAUUGGGAAGAACACCAGUGGCGAAGGCGGCUCACUGGCUCGUAACUGACGCUCAUGCACGACAGCGUGGGGAUCAAACAGG